RNAcentral lists this ribosomal RNA (700 nucleotides) under uncultured bacterium. RNAcentral describes it as "bacterial SSU rRNA". It matches the Rfam family "Bacterial small subunit ribosomal RNA", at positions 8 to 703 of the family's 1533-position model. The record is from RNAcentral.
AGGGUUUGAUCAUGGCUCAGAUUGAACGCUGGCGGUAGGCUUAACACAUGCAAGUCGUGCGAGAAAGUACCUUCGGGUGCGAGUAGAGCGGCGGACGGGUGAGUAACGCGUAGGAAUCUACCUAGUAGAAGGGGAUAGCCCGGGGAAACUCGGAUUAAUACCGUAUACCUCCUUAGGGAGAAAGAGGGCUUAGCUUUGAUGCUCUCGCUAUUAGAUGAGCCUGCGUAAGAUUAGCUUGUUGGUGAGGUAAUGGCUCACCAAGGCGACGAUCUUUAGCUGGUCUGAGAGGACGAUCAGCCACAUUGGGACUGAGACACGGCCCAGACUCCUACGGGAGGCAGCAGUGGGGAAUAUUGGACAAUGGGCGCAAGCCUGAUCCAGCCAUACCGCGUGUGUGAAGAAGGCUUUCGGGUUGUAAAGCACUUUAAGUAAGGAGGAAAAGAUUGUAGUUAAUACCUGCAAUCCGUGACGUUACUUACAGAAUAAGGACCGGCUAAUUCCGUGCCAGCAGCCGCGGUAAUACGGAAGGUCCAAGCGUUAAUCGGAAUUACUGGGCGUAAAGCGCGCGUAGGUGGUUUUUUAAGUUGGAUGUGAAAGCCCUGGGCUCAACCUAGGAACUGCAUCCAAAACUAGAUGACUAGAGUACGAAAGAGGGAAGUAGAAUUCACAGUGUAGCGGUGGAAUGCGUAGAUAUUGUGAA